This 607-nucleotide long non-coding RNA is filed under the name Zonotrichia albicollis (white-throated sparrow). RNAcentral's name for it is "lncRNA (ENSZALG00000013686.1)". The record is from RNAcentral. Lineage: Eukaryota; Metazoa; Chordata; Aves; Passeriformes; Passerellidae.
AUGCAAUGUUCUUUCUGUCCCACCUCAGUUUUUCUUCUGACAAGAAGAAAAAGACCAAAGUUCUAUUUUGGGGCUGCGUUUUUCCUGUUUGCAGGAAACCACAGGGUGAGACACAGCGUUCUGAGAGUGGGCUGCAGGAAGUCUGCUGCAAAUUACCCUUUAACACUGCGUGAAGGAGCUUUUAGUGCCUUAAAGGAGCAAUCAUGUUCCAGUGUCCCAUCAGCUCCUUGCCUGUCACUGGUGGUCUCAGAGCUCAGGAUUUGCUGCUGCACCAGCCAAGGUUCUGCAUCAGCUUCUACAGAAACCCUGACUGAUACAUUGAUUUUGCAAGUGUGCAUGUGCUGUUUCAUACACAAAUUGUCCACACAAGAAAAUUUUACAAAGGAAGCCCUUCCUGCAAAGAUCUGAGGCCUUGGGUAGCUGCAAGAUCCUGUACUACAAAUGGUUUACUGCAGUGUCAAAAUGUACAAAAAUCAUUCCACCUGGUAUAUUCACUUGGAGCAGAAGGCAUCAUUAGGGAAUUUCUGUCACCAUGAAGAAAAUCAGGAGUGACAGGAAGCAGAGGUUUUGUAUAACCAGUCCUGAAACACUCAGUGUCAUUGCACAG